This 425-nucleotide ribosomal RNA is filed under the name uncultured bacterium. RNAcentral's name for it is "partial 16S ribosomal RNA". It matches the Rfam family "Bacterial small subunit ribosomal RNA", at positions 354 to 796 of the family's 1533-position model. The record is from RNAcentral.
GUGGGGAAUAUUGGACAAUGGGCGAAAGCCUGAUCCAGCAAUGCCGCGUGAGUGAUGAAGGCCCUAGGGUUGUAAAGCUCUUUUACCCGGGAUGAUAAUGACAGUACCGGGAGAAUAAGCUCCGGCUAACUUCGUGCCAGCAGCCGCGGUAAUACGAGGGGAGCUAGCGUUGUUCGGAAUUACUGGGCGUAAAGCGCGCGUAGGCGGUUUUUUAAGUCAGAGGUGAAAGCCCGGGGCUCAACCCCGGAAUUGCCUUUGAAACUGGAAAACUAGAAUCUUGGAGAGGUCAGUGGAAUUCCGAGUGUAGAGGUGAAAUUCGUAGAUAUUCGGAAGAACACCAGUGGCGAAGGCGACUGACUGGACAAGUAUUGACGCUGAGGUGCGAAAGCGUGGGGAGCAAACAGGAUUAGAAACCCUUGUAGUCC